GUUCCCACCUGGCCAGGGAAAUACUAUGAUCACAGCAGUGUUUUUCCCAGAAUGAGGCCUGCCUGUUGUACUCCAGGUACACCGACCUCUGCCAAUUUCCCCCAAUUCAGGAAACUUGACUACUUGAUUUAGUGGCAGUGGGGGUCUGCUUUCUUCCUUUCCCCUU
This is a small nuclear RNA of Crocodylus porosus (Australian saltwater crocodile), 166 nucleotides long. Its record names the gene U1. It matches the Rfam family "U1 spliceosomal RNA". Rfam says of the family: U1 is a small nuclear RNA (snRNA) component of the spliceosome (involved in pre-mRNA splicing). Lineage: Eukaryota; Metazoa; Chordata; Crocodylia; Crocodylidae. The record is from Ensembl.